Molecule: small nuclear RNA, 101 nt
Organism: Pygocentrus nattereri (red-bellied piranha)
Lineage: Eukaryota; Metazoa; Chordata; Actinopteri; Characiformes; Serrasalmidae
Source: Ensembl
UCGCUACGGCAGCGCAUAUACUAAAAUGGGAUCGAUACAGAGAAGAUUAGCAUGGCCCCUGUGAAAGGAUGACACAAAUCUGUGAAGUGCUCCAUAUUUUU